AAUUAGUUUUAUUCUAGCUAAAUUAUUAAUUUUUUCAAUGAAUCAAUAUGGGUAAAUACAAUUUUAAUACUUUUAUUCCAAUUAUUAAAAUUAUUUAAUUUUAUUAUAGAAAUAUUGAAUUAGUAAUUGAUAAUUAUGAUAGAUUAAGAUUUGUGCCAGCAUUCGCGGUUAAACAAUCUAUCAAUAUUAAUUUUUUAGGUUUAUUAAUAUUUAUAUUAGUAGUACAUAACUAAAAUGAUGUAUAUUUGGUAUAUUUAAGUGGAAUUUAUAUAUAAAGGUAAAUUCAAAAUACAAUUUUUAAUAAGUUAAUAUAUUAAACUAGGAUUAGAUACCCUAUUAUAAUUAAAUGUAAUAUUUACCUGAAUAAGUAUUAGUUACGUGCUUUAAAGCUCAAAGAAUUUGGCGGUAAAAUAUCUCAUUAGAGGAAUUUGUAAAUUAAUUGAUAAACCACGAUAGUUAAACACUUUAAUGUAUAUUUGUAUACCGCUAUAUUUAUGAAUGUUUUGAUAAGAUAUUUUCUUUUACCAUAAGGAUAAAAAUUAGGUCAAGGUGCAGUUUUAUUAAAGAUUUUAUGAAUUACUUCAAUAUUAAAUUUUUAUUAGAUAUUUUAACUAAAGUUAUAAUUGAAUAAGGAUUUAAAAGUAAAAUUAAUUAAUUAAUUAAUUUGAAUUUAUUUUAUUUUAUGCACAUAUCGCCCGUCACUCCUAAUUUAAGUUAGGAUAAGUCGUAACAAAGUAAUCUUACCGGAAGGUGAAAUUAGAAUGAUUAAAAUAU
RNAcentral lists this non-coding RNA (774 nucleotides) under Balclutha sp. EMHAU-2015-Zz052711. Lineage: Eukaryota; Metazoa; Arthropoda; Insecta; Hemiptera; Cicadellidae. The record is from RNAcentral.